CGAACGGGUGAGUAACGCGUGAGGAACCUGCCUCAAAGAGGGGGACAACAGUUGGAAACGACUGCUAAUACCGCAUAAGCCCACGGCUCGGCAUCGAGCAGAGGGAAAAGGAGCAAUCCGCUUUGAGAUGGCCUCGCGUCCGAUUAGCUGGUUGGUGAGGUAACGGCCCACCAAGGCGACGAUCGGUAGCCGGACUGAGAGGUUGAACGGCCACAUUGGGACUGAGACACGGCCCAG
Molecule: ribosomal RNA, 237 nt
Filed under: uncultured bacterium
Lineage: Bacteria
Description: partial 16S ribosomal RNA
Rfam family: Bacterial small subunit ribosomal RNA
Source: RNAcentral